Molecule: long non-coding RNA, 713 nt
Organism: Diceros bicornis minor
Lineage: Eukaryota; Metazoa; Chordata; Mammalia; Perissodactyla; Rhinocerotidae
Exons: 3
Source: RefSeq, a predicted model, not a curated record
CUGGCCUGAGGAGGAAGAAUGAGGAAGCACAUCAAGGCCGCUCCCGGGUGAGGCAGGCCAGGCUCCCAGCAGCCAGCAGAUCACUCCCGUUGGGGGAAGCCAAUGCUAGGUCACAAGGACACUCAAGCAGCCCUGUGGAGAGAGCCUCACGGCAGGGAACUGAGGCCUCCCACCAACAGCCAUGAGGGAGCCAUCCGGGAAGCAGGCCCUCCAGUCUCAGUCGAGCCUUCAGAUGAUGUGUGACUGCGACCACAUGGGAGACCCCGAACCAGAACCAUCUGGCCAAUGCGCUCCUGGAUUGCUGACCCACAGAGACCAGCUGAGCCCAGUGCCUGACUCGCAGGAAGUUCUCAAUAACUGGAGAAACAAAUGGGCUCCUGGCACUGGGGGAACAGCACAGAAGGUGACAGAAGAGACUCUGAGCUUGUGGCUGAGCUGGUCCAACGGAAAGGAUCAUCGCUAAGCUGUGUGUGCAACUGUGGCAGGGCCGGGCUGGGCACUGGGAUGCAGAGCUGGCAAUGGUGAAGCCCAACCCGAGCUCCACCCAGAGGAUACACGGGAGGUCCAUCAGCAACAACAAGGCUCUACCCAAUGCCCUGCCCGCACAGGGAGGGACAUUCAAACCCACUUGGCCAGUGAGGAGGGCUCGGCAGGAGACUGAAUCUUCAUCUGAGUCCCGGAGGCUCCCAGGGGGUCAUCUGCCUCUGCACCAU